UGGUCUAUACUAACUUUGGUGGUAACUCGUAAGCGGGCAUGAAGUGUUUGAAACAAAACACCCGUGUUAUAAUGGUUGUCAUUAUUUACAAGAACUCAGCAACUGUUUGCAUAUAAGUUACACCAACAUUUGUUCAGCAAACCCUGGGAUGAAGCGAGUUCCAUAUUAUUAUUGAUCUGUAACAUUAAUAUUAUAUAUAAAAAUAUAGUAGAGGAAGACAGGAUACCGUUGGGAUAAAGGUAAAAUGAAAAAUAGUUGGGGUAAGAUGAGAUAACGUUGGGGUAAGAUGGGACAUUGUUGCUCGCCAAUGAAUUUUGGUCACGAUGGCGGAAAGAGUUCCUGCUUAGUCUCCAACAACAAGCAAAAUGGGCAAAAUCUCGACCAGAUUUAAAGGUCGGCGAUGUGGUGCUGGUAGUAGACGAGAACUUAAGCAUAAACUUAUGGAAGAUGGGUCGCAUCGUAGAGGCGUUGCCAAGUAGAGACAAAUUGAUUCGCCAUCUGCGAGUCAUGAUUUGUCAUGUCGCCAACACUAAAGGGAACUUGACACAAACUUGUUCGAUUUUAGAGCGGCCGGUACACAAACUAUUACUACUAAACAAUGAAACCAACGAAUAGAUGUUCACAAAUAGAUUCCCCGAUGUGGAGCCCUAAAAUUAUAUAUUUUGAUCGCGAAAAUUUAUGUAUUAUGAUUGUGAAGUUUAAUUAUGUUGGUGUAAAUGUUCAUGUUAUAGUUGGUAAACAUUUAAGGGAGCCAUGUUACUGCCGCAGUGGCGUAGCUGUUUUGUUUAAUAAUAGUCCCUUCCGUUCUGUUCCAUUGAUUAACGACACAGCGAAUAUCUUGAAGGCGUGAUGCAUUUUCCUAUGUAGAAUUGUUAGCGACUAUACACGCCAAAUUGCAGUUACCGCAAAUAAAGGACCAACAGGAGAGCCUCGAAAGCGCGUAACUGCUUUAAGCAAUCUGAAAGAGGCACCAACGAAGCACGUGCCGAAACAAAUUAUAUUUUAUUGCAGAUGAACAAGUCAGCACUUCUACUUUUGCUUCUCAUCGGGCUUCUCGUACUCACUGAAACCACAACUGCAAUGUGGGGUAACCGUGCCUAAAGAGACAGCAGUAGUGUCUGAGAAAAUGAGCGCAUUUUUGCAACACAACCUGAAAUAUCAAUCGCAUUCCCAGUAUCCAGCUGAUUGUGCCAGUAAGAGGAGUGACGUCAGAUCAGCUCACAGCUUCACAUGGUUUCGUGGUCCUCCAUUCUUCUGGGAGGCAACCGUUUCAUCACGUAGUCAUGUCUAGACGGGAAAUCUUUAAGAGCGUCAAAACUGCGUUAAGAGAAUUAAGAAGCAAAUAAACGUUUAAAACUUUGGAUGAACGCUCUCUGUUGCAGAAAGACAGAGAGAAUUAACCAGAAAAUUAACGGGAAGUCAUUAAAACAACGUCAACGAUCACUAACUAAUGUUCUAGCUGGUGUAAUAAACAGUUUAAAUAACGUUCGAUAAGUUUUGUUCUAUGUUGUCACGACUUUAUAAAAGUUUUUUAUACGUUUUGGUAUUCCUGACAGGUGUAUUCGCUGCUACCAUUGUGAGAGGAAGUAUUUGUUCUAACAAAGGUACAUUCGUGGUAUCUCGUAAGCGGGUACGGUGUGUUUGGAACAGAACACCUUCUUAAUAAAAUGUAUAAACGUUUAUUUAUAAAAAUACACAAAUUCCUGAAGCAAAAACUUGGUGCAGUCUUUGCGUUUGGUACCAGCAAACAUGGAGCUCACUUUUUAAAUGUCGCAAUCGAAUUUCGUUGUUUAUCAGGCGUAUCAUGGCUUACACAGGAACUCAUCAGUGGAACCGAAUCCAAGAAUUCGUGCGCCGAAUUUAUUGAGAAGAAAAGAUUUAUUGAAAAAGGGGAAUUUUAUUGAAAUGAAGGGAUUUUAAUCCUGACAGCAGAUGCAUCGGAAACAAUCAAACAACGAUAGUUAUAAAAAGCGCUGAGUUUUGCAAUAUUUUAUCAGUUCUUCAAAAGAAAUAACAUGAACAAGUCAGCACUUCUACUUUUGCUUCUCAUCGGACUCAUCGUCCUCACUGAAACUACUAAUGCUGCAUGGUGGUCUCGUCGUCGUCGUCGUCGUUAUAACCAAGAGGAAAUACCACAAAUGAACGAAAUUCUAGAUAUGGAAUCCGAGGACGGUUUCACUUGGUAUAACCGUGGAUAAGAAUAACUACUUAAUCGUGUAUAAGCUGCAAUCGUACGAUUUUAAUAAAUUGAACAUCAGCAAAACAUA
Non-coding RNA from Ciona intestinalis (vase tunicate), 2267 nucleotides. The record is from RefSeq and is a predicted model, not a curated record. Lineage: Eukaryota; Metazoa; Chordata; Ascidiacea; Phlebobranchia; Cionidae.